CAAGCUUCAGCUUUCUUGAUGUUGGUGACCCAUGGGCCAGAAUCUUAUCCCAGGCCUAGGGUAGCGAGAGAAAUAGUGGUUCAUGGGCCUCGAUACCUCUGAUCCAUCAAGAAACCAUACCCAACUCAAUGGGCUGAAAUUCAAACACAAGGAUUUAUUGUUUUAUUUAUGACUAAUGAUAAAUAUUCCAAAUUUUUAUUUAUGGUACAUGAUCGAAUUUAACAAAAUGACGAUGAGACAUUGUCAUUGAAAUGAUGUGGUGACUUGCACAGUGCAUAUGAAUUCAAUCUUCUGAUUUGGGUUCCAGGAGACCGAAAUGAGCCAUCAAUACCCAAACAAAAGUAAAAAGCUCCCCGCCAUUACUAACUUGUUCGACAUGUGUCCUUGUUG
This 390-nucleotide long non-coding RNA is filed under the name Citrus sinensis (sweet orange). Its description in RNAcentral is "long non-coding RNA (CSIN_LNC005711)". Lineage: Eukaryota; Viridiplantae; Streptophyta; Magnoliopsida; Sapindales; Rutaceae. The record is from RNAcentral.